AUACGGAGGGUGCAAGCGUUAUCCGGAUUCACUGGGUUUAAAGGGAGCGUAGGUGGGUUAGUAAGUCCGUGGUGAAAUCUCUGAGCUUAACUCGGAAACUGCCAUGGAUACUAUUAGUCUUGAAUAUUGUGGAGGUUAGCGGAAUAUGUCAUGUAGCGGUGAAAUGCUUAGAUAUGACAUAGAACACCAAUUGCGAAGGCAGCUGGCUACACAUAUAUUGACACUGAGGCUCGAAAGCGUGGGGAUCAAACAGGAUUAGAUACCCUGGUAGUCCACGCCCUAAACUAUGGAUACUCGACAUACGCGAUAAACUGUGUGUGUCUGAGCGAAAGCAUUAAGUAUCCCACCUGGGAAGUACGAUCGCAAGAUUGAA
Molecule: ribosomal RNA, 373 nt
Filed under: uncultured bacterium
Lineage: Bacteria
Description: bacterial SSU rRNA
Rfam family: Bacterial small subunit ribosomal RNA
Source: RNAcentral